Molecule: ribosomal RNA, 253 nt
Filed under: uncultured bacterium
Lineage: Bacteria
Description: partial 16S ribosomal RNA
Rfam family: Bacterial small subunit ribosomal RNA
Source: RNAcentral
UACGGAGGGUGCAAGCGUUAUCCGGAUUCACUGGGUUUAAAGGGUGCGUAGGCGGGCAGGUAAGUCCGUGGUGAAAUCUCUGAGCUUAACUCAGAAACUGCCAUGGAUACUAUUUGUCUUGAAUAUUGUGGAGGUGAGCGGAAUAUGUCAUGUAGCGGUGAAAUGCUUAGAUAUGACAUAGAACACCAAUUGCGAAGGCAGCUCACUACUCAAUCAUUGACUCUGAGGCACGAAAGCGUGGGGAUCAAACAGG